Molecule: long non-coding RNA, 418 nt
Organism: Paramacrobiotus metropolitanus
Lineage: Eukaryota; Metazoa; Tardigrada; Eutardigrada; Parachela; Macrobiotidae
Exons: 3
Source: RefSeq, a predicted model, not a curated record
AACAGUACUGUAGCGGACGCGGGGCUGUGGCGAAAGCAGGGGUAAUGACGAACGCGGGGGCCAGCGACGGAAGCUCGCCUGUGGCGAACGCGGGGCUGUGGCUGAUGCGGAGCCCACUAGCGGACGCGGGGACGACGGCGGGCUAGAAGGGUUUCGACUGAUACGUGCGCGAAGGCGGACAAGGGAGCAGAAAAGACGAGAGAACGGGUCUGGCGUUCUUGCAGAUGAAACGUACAAGCUGCCCCUGUAACCAGCAUCGUAUCCCUUGCUGAAUGUUGUGCGGAUCCGCUGAACAAUUAUAUAUCUACAGCGUCGACAUUUUAUAAAGAUCUGCUGAUCGCAUGAUCUGACUGGAUAAUUAUUUUAUCCGCUAAGCAGUUCCUGACCAUGAUUUGGUAUUCCGUCUCCUAUAUUCCCU